RNAcentral lists this ribosomal RNA (429 nucleotides) under Chloroflexota bacterium. Its description in RNAcentral is "Chloroflexi bacterium partial 16S ribosomal RNA". It matches the Rfam family "Bacterial small subunit ribosomal RNA", at positions 355 to 776 of the family's 1533-position model. The record is from RNAcentral. Lineage: Bacteria; Bacillati; Chloroflexota.
UGGGGAAUAUUGCACAAUGGGCGCAAGCCUGAUGCAGCCAUGCCGCGUGUAUGAAGAAGGCCUUCGGGUUGUAAAGUACUUUCAGCGGGGAGGAAGGGAGUAAAGUUAAUACCUUUGCUCAUUGACGUUACCCGCAGAAGAAGCACCGGCUAACUCCGUGCCAGCAGCCGCGGUAAUACGGAGGGUGCAAGCGUUAAUCGGAAUUACUGGGCGUAAAGUGCACGCAGGCGGUUUGUUAAGUCAGAUGUGAAAUCCCCGGGCUCAACCUGGGAACUGCAUCUGAUACUGGCAAGCUUGAGUCUCGUAGAGGGGGGUAGAAUUCCAGGUGUAGCGGUGAAAUGCGUAGAGAUCUGGAGGAAUACCGGUGGCGAAGGCGGCCCCCUGGACGAAGACUGACGCUCAGGUGCGAAAGCGUGCGGAGCAAACAGG